UUAAGUGUUAACAGGGGAAUGGAGGUGGUAAGCAUCCAUCAUCUUUAUACCACAUUUCAUCCUUGUGAUACAUACACUUCCAUAUUUUCCCCAAAAACAAACGGAAUUAGUGACAAAAGGAUGCACCUCCCUAGGUUCUUUUACCCCUUCAAACUAAGAGGAGUAUCACCAAAAAUCAACUAGUUACUGCUCACCACCUCCAUUCCCCUGUUAACACUUAACCAUACUUCCCCAAAACAAGAAAAAAAACAAAAAUGAAGAUGGCACCUGAGACAUGUCAAACCAUCAAUAAGGUAUGAU
Molecule: unclassified non-coding RNA, 300 nt
Filed under: Hevea brasiliensis (rubber tree)
Lineage: Eukaryota; Viridiplantae; Streptophyta; Magnoliopsida; Malpighiales; Euphorbiaceae
Source: RNAcentral